GAUAGAACUACUAUUCUCAUAAAGGGGACAGAAAUUGCCAGUCUUUCUGCCCCUCAAAGUCUUUCUUCCUGCUUUUAAAGUCAGCAGGAGGAUAUUGACUCCAGAGAAAAGCCUGUCACUUCAGGGAAAGAACCAGCCUGUAGUAUUGUGAACCAUCUCUUUCUAACUUCCAGCUGGAGCACAAGAGAGACUGCUAUAGAAGCCCACCUCUCUGGGAGAGCUGCCUUUUGCUGGGAGACUGUCAGUAAAGGGUUAUCCUCCACAUGGUCAUCCAGCAGCCUUCACUGUCUACUGUUUGCUGAAUGUAGCUGAUACAGCAGAUUACAGAUACAUUUAUUUGGGAUCAUCUGCCCAGUAAUGCAGAAUUGGAGACCAAAAAUGAACAUUCUAGGAGAAAUGUAGAAGCUGGAAAAGACUAGCUGUCAUGAAGAAUGCCUCAUGGAACCCCUCAGUGAGAAGAAUCAUUAGAGAAGUGUGCACCCUCCAGGAUGUAUCCUUGAGGUUACUAAAGACCUCCAAGGUCAAGCACAACACAGAAAGCUCCUCCCCUUCAUAGAAGAACUUACCUUAAAGUGGAAACUGUAACAGCAAGAUGAAGAAUAACUGCCAAUGAUAUAUGUUAUAAAGGGAAAAAAAAUGAUGAACUCAAAGACAAAGGAGGCUCUGGUCAGCCAUGGUGACUCUCAGCAGUGCUAGCAACCUGAGGCUUGAUGGUGGAUGAUUCGGCCAGCAAGCAGCAUAGUGUUCUUACGUGGGAAGCAACAUAUGCCAAUAUCCCUGAGUGGUAAAGAGUGUGAUUGAUCUAGGAACUUCUGCAGAUGCUACCAGAGAAAUAGGAGACAAGUUAUGAUUUCCUUCCUGGCAAAUUAGUUUGCAAUUUGGACUCCUUUCCCUUAUGGCUAAAGCAUUAGGAUUCCCUUUCUGCUCCCUUCAGAGAUUGUUUUCAUUUUUUACUUGCUGUGCUGCUAAUGCCCAAAUCCUGGAUUCCAUUGAACAUCCCAUUAAAGAUCUCAUAUGCUGCUCCUUGGAGACUGCUGUGGAAAGUCAGGGGCGCAACAGCCACCCUCCUAGAUCUCAAACCAUUCCUGCUUCCUCUGGUGAAGGUGAUCUUUUGGAAGCCACUCUACACAUGUCGAUUAACUGCAGGAGUCUGGCCUGAGCUUUGGAUCCCUUUUCUGUGAAAUGGAACAUUUGCCACAUAGAUGAUUCAAUAUCAUGUGCCUCAGCAAUGAGAGGUCUUGUACAGUCAGUCACAGUGUGGCUGUGGCACCCUGGAAGUUUCUUUCCUGAAUCACAGUGAUCCUGAAUUUGUCCUGUUCCCCCUCCCCCCCAUUUAUAACUUUUGAUUAUAUUGGGGCACUUGAAGAGAUUCCCAGGUGACACCAAUGCUGUCAGGGUCCAGGGUCUUGAGGAGUAGUCCAGAGCAGACUUCCUGACCUGCCUAAGAGCGAACUUCCUAAUCAAACUUGCAUACUCUCAGGGAAACUGAUUUCUGUGUUAGAAAAUCAAUCUAUUGAAAAAAUUGUGAAGAGGUGUUUUCAUGUAGAAAGCUCUUUAUCAUGUCUAUUUCAGGAAUCUUAACAAAGGGACUGGAAUCUUCCAGAUCCUAUGGGGCAGGUUUGCACAGAGAGACACGGGAAUUGGCCAGUUCUGCUGAGAGUUCACCUUGCGGGUUAGUUUUGUUAGGCAGUCUACGCUUUUAGCACUUUUUUUCCUUUCCUCUAUCCUGGGGAUAUGGCUUCUCCAAAAUAUUUCAGGUGAUCAGGAUUAGGGUUAGGGUUAGGGUGGCUUUCCCAUAUGAAGACCUCUUCAGGAAGCCACUUCCUUUUGUACUUUUCCUGCAUGCACAUCAGAAUAUAGCACCCCAGGUAUGGGGCUUCAGAUAUAUUUGAACAACAUUAACUGAGCUUCUACAACAAGCACUUUACAUGCCAGAUGUAGCAGAGGGUUCACUAUUGACUAAGACAGAUCCUUGCCCUCCAAAAGUUUUAUAUAUAUAUAUAUAAAAGGCUAGAAUUUGAUGUUUGGUGAAGGCUCGGUCUCUGCUUCAUAAAUGGCACUUUUGCUGCAUUCUCACUUGGUGGAGGGGUGAGAGGAGCAAAGAAGGUCCAACACAUGGCAGAAGAGAAGGAAGGGAUGAACCUGUUCCCUGCAGCCCUUUUAUAAGAGCUAACCCAUCCAGGAGGGUGGAGCCCUCACAGCCCAGUGACUUUCCAAAGCCUCAUCUUUUACUACUGACAUUUUGGGAUGAAAGUUCCAAAAUAUGAAUUUUGGAGAGGGGCACUUACAUCCAAAACAUAGCAGACAUCAAAGUGAGAGAGACAAAAAGCAUCAUGUUUCUUUGAAGAAGAGAAGAACUCCCUUCUCCUUUGCCUUUUCCUUCAUUCCUUUAUGAAAUAAAAAUAAAUAAAUCAAUGAA
This is a non-coding RNA of Ictidomys tridecemlineatus (thirteen-lined ground squirrel), 2419 nucleotides long. The record is from RefSeq and is a predicted model, not a curated record. NCBI's taxonomy places the organism in Eukaryota, Metazoa, Chordata, Mammalia, Rodentia, Sciuridae.